GGCGGGUUGGUGGAGUGGUCUAACACGUGCGACUCAAGUUCUCAAACUUUGUCCUUAGACAGGAUUUCGCAUCUCGUAAAGAGGCGUGGGUUCGAAUCCCACACCCGUCA
Whalleya microplaca is the source of this 110-nucleotide non-coding RNA. The record is from the annotation of a GenBank genome assembly. Lineage: Eukaryota; Fungi; Ascomycota; Sordariomycetes; Xylariales; Xylariaceae.